UGAGGACUGAAUGGAGCUAAACAGCUAAAACAUUAAUGAAACAUAUUUCUUUCAUGCAGGAAUUCCCAGACACCCAAGGAUAACCCAGAAAAGAGAAUGGAGCAAGGCAAAGAUCCCCAAUUCUGUUGCUAUCCAGUCAGGCCA
Long non-coding RNA from Pygocentrus nattereri (red-bellied piranha), 144 nucleotides. RefSeq lists it as uncharacterized. The record is from RefSeq and is a predicted model, not a curated record. Lineage: Eukaryota; Metazoa; Chordata; Actinopteri; Characiformes; Serrasalmidae. The transcript has 2 exons.